RNAcentral lists this small nucleolar RNA (349 nucleotides) under Trichophyton rubrum BMU01672. Its description in RNAcentral is "HACA-box snoRNA". The record is from RNAcentral. Lineage: Eukaryota; Fungi; Ascomycota; Eurotiomycetes; Onygenales; Arthrodermataceae.
GGGAUAAGGGGGACGAUGGGCUUCUUCUUCUUCUCUUUCUUUUGGCUAAAAAACUUCGUUGUGAUCGUCGUCUUGCAUGCAGAAUGCAGAGAUGGAGAGAGAAUAUGUCCAUCCGGCCAAGAGAUUCUACAUAAACCAAGUAGUGAUUAUCGGCGCCAGGCAGUCACUGCCAUCAGCCUUGGGUUGACGGGAUGCUGGCGAUGCUGAGAGAAGUCGAUGCUUUGGCGAUGAGCAUUCAUGAAGAUAACGGCAGAUCCUGUCUCGAAUGCCGUCGGAGCGUGGGUGGUGGCCAGCUUGAAGGCUCAUUGAUAUCUGUCAGGGGUCAAGCAUCAGAGUACAGCACAGCAAG